UAUUAGGUUGGUGCAAAAGUAAUUGCAGUUUCUGCCAUUGAAAGUGAUGGGAGAAACUGCAAUUACUUUUGCACCAAACUAAUA
RNAcentral lists this microRNA precursor (84 nucleotides) under Gorilla gorilla gorilla (western lowland gorilla). RNAcentral's name for it is "mir-548 microRNA precursor family". It matches the Rfam family "mir-548 microRNA precursor family". Lineage: Eukaryota; Metazoa; Chordata; Mammalia; Primates; Hominidae. RNAcentral also lists the same sequence under 1 other name. The record is from Rfam by way of RNAcentral.